Molecule: ribosomal RNA, 468 nt
Filed under: uncultured bacterium
Lineage: Bacteria
Description: partial 16S ribosomal RNA
Rfam family: Bacterial small subunit ribosomal RNA
Source: RNAcentral
GACGAACGCUGGCGGCGUGCUUAACACAUGCAAGUCGAACGGAAAGGCCCUGCUUUUGUGGGGUGCUCGAGUGGCGAACGGGUGAUUAACACGUGAGUAACCUGCCCUUGACUUUGGGAUAACUUCAGGAAACUUGGGCUAAUACCGGAUAGGAGCUCCUGCUGCAUGGUGGGGGUUGGAAAGUUUCGGCGGUUGGGGAUGGACUCGCGGCUUAUCAGCUUGUUGGUGGGGUAGUGGCUUACCAAGGCUUUGACGGGUAGCCGGCCUGCGAGGGUGACCGGCCACAUUGGGACUGAGAGACGGCCCAGACGCCUACGGGAGGCAGCAGUGGUGAAUAUUGCACAAUGGGCGGAAGCCUGAUGCAGCAACGCCGCGUGCGGGAUGACGGCCUUCGGGUAGUAAACCGCUUUCGCCUGUGACGAAGCGUGAGUGACGGUAAUGGGUAAAGAAGCACCGGCUAACUACGUG